CAAGCCUAACACAUGCAAGUCGAGCGGAUGACGGGAGCUUGCUCCUUGAUUCAGCGGCGGACGGGUGAGUAAUGCCUAGGAAUCUGCCUGGUAGUGGGGGACAACGUUUCGAAAGGAACGCUAAUACCGCAUACGUCCUACGGGAGAAAGCAGGGGACCUUCGGGCCUUGCGCUAUCAGAUGAGCCUAGGUCGGAUUAGCUAGUUGGUGAGGUAAUGGCUCACCAAGGCGACGAUCCGUAACUGGUCUGAGAGGAUGAUCAGUCACACUGGAACUGAGACACGGUCCAGACUCCUACGGGAGGCAGCAGUGGGGAAUAUUGGACAAUGGGCGAAAGCCUGAUCCAGCCAUGCCGCGUGUGUGAAGAAGGUCUUCGGAUUGUAAAGCACUUUAAGUUGGGAGGAAGGGCAGUAAGUUAAUACCUUGCUGUUUUGACGUUACCGACAGAAUAAGCACCGGCUAACUCUGUGCCAGCAGCCGCGGUAAUACAGAGGGUGCAGCGUUAAUCGGGAAUUACCUGGGGCGGUNAAAGACGCGCGUAAGUGGGGUUGGGUAAGUUGGGUUUUGAAAAGCCCCGGGGGCUCCAACCUUGGNAACCUUGCGUCCGANAUU
This 611-nucleotide ribosomal RNA is filed under the name uncultured bacterium. Its description in RNAcentral is "bacterial SSU rRNA". The stretch from base 1 to 507 matches the Rfam family "Bacterial small subunit ribosomal RNA", at positions 43 to 546 of the family's 1533-position model. The record is from RNAcentral.